This 187-nucleotide unclassified non-coding RNA is filed under the name soil metagenome. RNAcentral's name for it is "partial internal transcribed spacer 1". The record is from RNAcentral.
AUGAACCUUUGAGGGUGAGCUGGCGUUUAUUCGCAUGUGCUUGCCCUCUCAUCACUUUAUACACCUGUGCAACUUUUGAAGGGUAGACAUUAGUAGACAUUCCACUUGUCGAAGGUUAUCUCCUCUUUACACUACAUACUCUAAUGAUUACUUUGAAUGUAUUAAAACGCUUAACAGCAUUUAAUUA